Molecule: long non-coding RNA, 2881 nt
Organism: Sceloporus undulatus (fence lizard)
Lineage: Eukaryota; Metazoa; Chordata; Lepidosauria; Squamata; Phrynosomatidae
Exons: 3
Source: RefSeq, a predicted model, not a curated record
CCCUCCAAGGAUGAGAGAGUGUGAUUUGCCCAAGGUCCCUCAGUGGGUUUCCAAGGUCAAGCAGGGAUUUGAACCCUGGUUGCCUAGUGUCAAAGUCCAGCACUCAAACCAUGACACCAUGCUGAGUCCCAUGUCCUGUACUCAGUUUAUAUUCUCAAGUACACAUCUGGUCUCCCUCUCAACUCACUGUGGGGUUUGUUUUCAAAGUGGCCAGCCUUUGAGAAGGAUACAAUCAAGCAAAGUGGUGGGGAACAUGCUUUUCGUCUUGGUCUCCCAGAUCUGAUUUUGAGAGAUACAGUAAAGCAAAAGAUUUAUUUAAGUAACAAGGCUGACAAGAAGAUUUCAGUAGGCAGGGUUGCCAUGGGAUUUGGGGUCUUGAUGGAGCAAGUAGGAGGUAUUUGGGGUGAGUGGAUCCCAGAUACGAGAGUAGCUUUUGCAGGGUGCAGGGAGCUUGUAGCAAACUCUGUUACAGUAUUUGGAAGAACAAACCACCAGUGCUGAUUUCAGUGGAUUGGAUAAGGAUGAACAUCCAGAUAAGACAGAGGCACAGGUGAAAGAGAGGUAAUCUGUAUAGAUUAGUGGCAAGGAAUCACAUACUAGUUUAAGGAGCAAGUUUGCUGUCUGGGAUUGUUUCUGAACCUGGUAUUACUGCUGAUGUCAAGGCAUUGGUUUUGCACAGGAGUGCCUUUUACUAAUUUCAGUCUACAGACCUCAGCCAUAUUGUGGAGGAAACAAAAUUAUGUUUGGCCACUCUUCUAUGUGCUCUGGUAAUCUCUUGGCUAAAAUACUUAUAAUGUGGCCUUUGGAGAGGCAGCCCUUGAUGAUAGUUAGGAAAUUUCAGCUAGGGCAGAAUAUAAUGGCACAGCCUUGGAUAGAGUGGAUUCUGAGAUACUUUGCUAUCAGAAGCAAAGGACAAGAAGUGCAUGCAUGUGUGUGCAUACACAUACGCACACACACCAGUUCAGGUGCUGAUUGUACUGUACUGGGAUAGCAUCCUUUAUAGUGUUUGAAGAUACCAGGCUUCAUGUAAAUAGCCUUGUUUCACAGCAGUUCAAGAUGUGGUCAUCCCAGGAGGAACUGCCAAGCUCUGAAGUCAUUGCCUCUGCCCACUAUCUGCUACAAACAGCAGCAGCAGCAUGUAAACAGCAGCUGGGGGUAAUAUUUUUAUCAGGAAAAUUGUGCAGGGAUGAGAGAAUUAAAUCCCCUUCUUCUACUAUUGUGAUCGCCACCUCCUGCAUGGAAGCAAUGAAAAUUUCAGCAGAAUGUGGUCUCAUCUGCUUUGGCUCUGAGAACUAACUUUAAUAGAUGGUGUGUUACUAUAGUAGAGAUACUGCAUGAGGAGACAUGUAAACUGUUGAAGAAGCAUCUAACUAUUUCUGUAUAGCCAGCUACACAACAUCAUCAUCAUCUCCUGGGACCUCUGAAGAAACUCCAGGAGGAUGUAUUUGACUACUAAAUGACUGCAAUACAGUAAAGGAAGAAAAUGUCUGGAGGGAUUUUCUGCCUUACAGUUCAUAAUGCUGAGAGGUCUGCCAAAGAUGCAAGUACAUCCCCCAUCAAAUCCUGAUCACCAAAAGAUACUGAGCCCCAAUAUGGAGAAUUACAGCCCAGAAACUUCCAGGAGGUGCAGUUCUCAGUUUUAAAGAGAUACAGAAAGUCGGAGGAAGCCAAAUAUGACAUUGAUUGUAAAGAACUUUUGUGCUCCUCUGAGGAAUAGUGGAAUCUGUGGAACAAGUAAGUAACAACUGUUCAUUUGUUGCUCGGUAAAUAAACAUCUGGAGCGGUCCUGUGUUCUGUACAUAGGGAAAUUUGCAUUGUAGGUUUACGGUAAAGAUGACUGCUUCAUACAGUUAAGGUGCUACAGAAAGGAGAACUCAAAAGUAUUAUUAAUUAUGCUGAUUCUGCUGGCAAAGCUUACUGUUUACAUCUACUUGCCACACUACUUGGAAUUUUUAGUGGCAAACGUGGAAUCUCCUCACUGGUAGCACUGUGUCCCUCUGUUGUUGAGACAAGAGAAGGAAUUUUCAAAGGGCAAUGUUCAGACCAAAAGCUAUGCAGCCUGUAACUUUGCAUAGGGCUAGAUUUGUGCCUGCUUGGUUAGUUAAUAUUUUCUUACGCUUCCAGGUCAUUGAGUUUGAUGACGACCGGUGUUGAUUUUGGAUGCUGAUUACUAGAGUUUCCCAUUGGCCUGGGUAAACAAUUUGCACUUUAGCCAAAGUGCAGUCAAGCAGAGCUGAGUUGUCAUGUCUAUUUCUAGUUUUCAUUGAUAAAAAGGAGGGGGACCGAAAGGGACAAUGAGAGCUGGAGUGCUGCCAAGUUGUUGAUUUGUCCAUUCAAAGGGCAGCAAAGAACUAGCAGAGCAUAUACCAAUUCUCUUUUGUGUCAGGCCAACAUUAGACUCUGAUCCUCCACAAUCCUGGGAGAAAUCGUAGAAGCUCUUUUGCAAUGACUGAGUGAGGUGUCCGUUAAAGUCAUAUAACUUGAACUUUGGGUUGGACAUUUGCUAUGUGACAGCAGUACCUGAUCAAACUACUUGGUCUGUGUAUGCAGAUUGAUACUGAACCUUUUGAUAAUAAAGUGUAAGAACACAGACUGUUACCUGACAUUCACGUCUGUUACUUCUUUUAAAAUAACAACAGGUACUCUGUGGUGUCUUUGCCAAAUGGACUGAUGGUAGCAUAAAUCUGCAUGGAUGAGAGCAGCAUCUCUUAAGCUAUCUGAUGUUAAGGAAUGAUAACGUUUCCCUCAGUGUGCCAGAGACAAGUACAGUGCUCCCUCGGGUUACGAAAUUAAUUCGUUCCGCCGCGGCGUUCGUAACCCGAUGCAUUUCGCAAGCCGAAAAGGGCUUUUCGUUAGCGCUGGCAAGCCGCGCGUUUGAAUU